This 522-nucleotide ribosomal RNA is filed under the name Colletotrichum orbiculare. RNAcentral describes it as "partial large subunit ribosomal RNA". It matches the Rfam family "Eukaryotic large subunit ribosomal RNA", at positions 180 to 726 of the family's 3401-position model. Lineage: Eukaryota; Fungi; Ascomycota; Sordariomycetes; Glomerellales; Glomerellaceae. The record is from RNAcentral.
UCCGAGUUCCCUGGAACGGGACGCCAUAGAGGGUGAGAGCCCCGUACGGUUGGACACCAAGCCUGUGUAAAGCUCCUUCGACGAGUCGAGUAGUUUGGGAAUGCUGCUCAAAAUGGGAGGUAUAUUUCUUCUAAAGCUAAAUACCGGCCAGAGACCGAUAGCGCACAAGUAGAGUGAUCGAAAGAUGAAAAGCACUUUGAAAAGAGGGUUAAACAGCACGUGAAAUUGUUAAAAGGGAAGCGCUUGUGACCAGACUUGCGCCCGGCGGAUCACGGCUCUCGCGGCCGGGGCACUCCGCCGGCUCAGGCCAGCAUCAGCUCGCUGUCGGGGACAAAAGCUUCGGGAACGUGGCUCCUCCGGGGAGUGUUAUAGCCCGUUGCACAAUACCUUCGGUGGGCUGAGGUACGCCGUCCGCAAGGAUGCUGGCGUAAUGGUCAUCAGCGACCCGUCUUGAAACACGGACCAAGGAGUCAACCUUAUAUGCGAGUGUUCGGGUGUCAAACCCCUACGCGUAAUGAAAGU